Molecule: ribosomal RNA, 483 nt
Filed under: uncultured bacterium
Lineage: Bacteria
Description: bacterial SSU rRNA
Rfam family: Bacterial small subunit ribosomal RNA
Source: RNAcentral
AUUGAACGCUGGCGGCAGGCCUAACACAUGCAAGUCGAACGGUAACAGGAAGCAGCUUCCUGCUUCGCUGACGAGUGGCGGACGGGUGAGUAAUGUCUGGGAAACUGCCUGAUGGAGGGGGAUAACUACUGGAAACGGUAGCUAAUACCGCAUAACGUCGCAAGACCAAAGAGGGGGACCUUCGGGCCUCUUGCCAUCGGAUGUGCCCAGAUGGGAUUAGCUAGUAGGUGGGGUAACGGCUCACCUAGGCGACGAUCCCUAGCUGGUCUGAGAGGAUGACCAGCCACACUGGAACUGAGACACGGUCCAGACUCCUACGGGAGGCAGCAGUGGGGAAUAUUGCACAAUGGGCGCAAGCCUGAUGCAGCCAUGCCGCGUGUAUGAAGAAGGCCUUCGGGUUGUAAAGUACUUUCAGCGGGGAGGAAGGCGACAGGGUUAAUAACCCUGUCGAUUGACGUUACCCGCAGAAGAAGCACCGGCUAA